Molecule: non-coding RNA, 145 nt
Organism: Desmospora sp. 8437
Lineage: Bacteria; Bacillati; Bacillota; Bacilli; Caryophanales; Thermoactinomycetaceae
Source: Rfam
CAAUUGAAUCGGAUUCUGCCGUAGACAGCCGGGGCACCGGAGAUGGUGCUUAAACAUCCUGCCGAGGUAUGAACAUACAUCCGUCCUGCGGGAUGGGUUUGUUCCCGGCCUUCGUCUGUCUACGAAGGCCUUUUCAUUUUACGGC